This 255-nucleotide ribosomal RNA is filed under the name uncultured bacterium. RNAcentral describes it as "partial 16S ribosomal RNA". It matches the Rfam family "Bacterial small subunit ribosomal RNA", at positions 524 to 776 of the family's 1533-position model. The record is from RNAcentral.
UACGAAGGGGGCUAGCGUUGCUCGGAAUCACUGGGCGUAAAGCGCACGUAGGCGGAUCUUUAAGUCAGGGGUGAAAUCCCGGAGCUCAACUCCGGAACUGCCUUUGAUACUGGGGGAUCUUGGAGUCCGGGAGAGGUGAGUGGAACUGCGAGUGUAGAGGUGAAAUUCGUAGAUAUUCGCAAGAACACCAGUGGCGAAGGCGGCUCACUGGCCCGGUACUGACGCUGAGGUGCGAAAGCGUGGGGAGCAAACAGG